UCGUCACACUAUCAUUAACUGAAUCCAUAGGUUAAUGAGGCGAACCGGGGGAACUGAAACAUCUAAGUACCCCGAGGAAAAGAAAUCAACCGAGAUUCCCCCAGUAGCGGCGAGCGAACGGGGAGGAGCCCAGAGCCUGAAUCAGCAUGUGUGUUAGUGGAAGCGUCUGGAAAGGCGCGCGAUACAGGGUGACAGCCCCGUACACAAAAGCGCAUGUGCUGUGAGCUCGAUGAGUAGGGCGGGACACGUGGUAUCCUGUCUGAAUAUGGGGGGACCAUCCUCCAAGGCUAAAUACUCCUGACUGACCGAUAGUGAACCAGUACCGUGAGGGAAAGGCGAAAAGAACCCCGGCGAGGGGAGUGAAAAAGAACCUGAAACCGUGUACGUACAAGCAGUGGGAGCACAGGUUUACCUGUGUGACUGCGUACCUUUUGUAUAAUGGGUCAGCGACUUAUAUUCUGUAGCAAGGUUAACCGAAUAGGGGAGCCGGAGGGAAACCGAGUCUUAAUUGGGCGUUAAGUUGCAGGGUAUAGACCCGAAACCCGGUGAUCUAGCCAUGGGCAGGUUGAAGGUUGGGUAACACUAACUGGAGGACCGAACCGACUAAUGUUGAAAAAUUAGCGGAUGACCUGUGGCUGGGGGUGAAAGGCCAAUCAAACCGGGAGAUAGCUGGUUCUCCCCGAAAGCUAUUUAGGUAGCGCCUCGUGAA
Molecule: ribosomal RNA, 709 nt
Filed under: Salmonella enterica subsp. enterica serovar Montevideo
Lineage: Bacteria; Pseudomonadati; Pseudomonadota; Gammaproteobacteria; Enterobacterales; Enterobacteriaceae
Also listed under: 1 other name
Description: partial 23S ribosomal RNA
Rfam family: Bacterial large subunit ribosomal RNA
Source: RNAcentral